GACGAACGCUGGCGGCGUGCCUAAUACAUGCAAGUUGAGCGCUGAAGGUUGGUACUUGUACCGACUGGAUGAGCAGCGAACGGGUGAGUAACGCGUGGGGAAUCUGCCUUUGAGCGGGGGACAACAUUUGGAAACGAAUGCUAAUACCGCAUAAAAACUUUAAACACAAGUUUUAAGUUUGAAAGAUGCAAUUGCAUCACUCAAAGAUGAUCCCGCGUUGUAUUAGCUAGUUGGUGAGGUAAAGGCUCACCAAGGCGAUGAUACAUAGCCGACCUGAGAGGGUGAUCGGCCACAUUGGGACUGAGACACGGCCCAAACUCCUACGGGAGGCAGCAGUAGGGAAUCUUCGGCAAUGGACGAAAGUCUGACCGAGCAACGCCGCGUGAGUGAAGAAGGUUUUCGGAUCGUAAAACUCUGUUGGUAGAGAAGAACGUUGGUGAGAGUGGAAAGCUCAUCAAGUGACGGUAACUACCCAGAAAGGGACGGCGUAACUACGUGCCAGCAGCCGCGGUAAUC
RNAcentral lists this ribosomal RNA (516 nucleotides) under uncultured bacterium. Its description in RNAcentral is "bacterial SSU rRNA". It matches the Rfam family "Bacterial small subunit ribosomal RNA", at positions 28 to 525 of the family's 1533-position model. The record is from RNAcentral.